GAUGAACGCUGGCGGCGUGCCUAAUACAUGCAAGUCGAGCGAACGGACGAGAAGCUUGCUUCUCUGAUGUUAGCGGCGGACGGGUGAGUAACACGUGGAUAACCUACCUAUAAGACUGGGAUAACUUCGGGAAACCGGAGCUAAUACCGGAUAAUAUUUUGAACCGCAUGGUUCAAAAGUGAAAGACGGUCUUGCUGUCACUUAUAGAUGGAUCCGCGCUGCAUUAGCUAGUUGGUAAGGUAACGGCUUACCAAGGCAACGAUGCAUAGCCGACCUGAGAGGGUGACCGGCCACACUGGAACUGAGACACGGUCCAGACUCCUACGGGAGGCAGCAGUAGGGAAUCUUCCGCAAUGGGCGAAAGCCUGACGGAGCAACGCCGCGUGAGUGAUGAAGGUCUUCGGAUCGUAAAACUCUGUUAUUAGGGAAGAACAUAUGUGUAAGUAACUGUGCACAUCUUGACGGUACCUAAUCAGAAAGCCACGGCUAACUACGUGCCAGCAGCCGCGGUAAUACGUAGGUGGCAAGCGUUAUCCGGAAUUUAUGGGCGUAAAGCGCGCGUAGGCGGUUUUUUAAGUCUGAUGUGAAAGCCCACGGCUCAACCGUGGAGGGUCAUUGGAAACUGGAAAACUUGAGUGCAGAAGAAGGAAAGUGGAAUUCCAUGUGUAGCGGUGAAAUGCGCAGAGAUAUGGAGGAACACCAGUGGCGAAGGCGACUUUCUGGUCUGUAACUGACGCUGAUGUGCGAAAGCGUGGGGAUCAAACAGGAUUAGAUACCCUGGUAGUCCACGCCGUAAACGAUGAGUGCUAAGUGUUAGGGGGUUUCCGCCCCUUAGUGCUGCAGCUAACGCAUUAAGCACUCCGCCUGGGGAGUACGACCGCAAGGUUGAAACUCAAAGGAAUUGACGGGGACCCGCACAAGCGGUGGAGCAUGUGGUUUAAUUCGAAGCAACUCGAAGAACCUUACCAAAUCUUGACAUCCUUUGACAACUCUAGAGAUAGAGCUUUCCCCUUCGGGGGACAAAGUGACAGGUGGUGCAUGGUUGCCGUCAGCUCGUGUCGUGAGAUGUUGGGUUAAGUCCCGCAACGAGCGCAACCCUUAAGCUUAGUUGCCAUCAUUAAGUUGGGCACUCUAAGUUGACUGCCGGUGACAAACCGGAGGAAGGUGGGGAUGACGUCAAAUCAUCAUGCCCCUUAUGAUUUGGGCUACACACGUGCUACAAUGGACAAUACAAAGGGCAGCGAAACCGUGAGGUCAAGCAAAUCCCAUAAAGUUGUUCUCAGUUCGGAUUGUAGUCUGCAACUCGACUACAUGAAGCUGGAAUCGCUAGUAAUCGUAGAUCAGCAUGCUACGGUGAAUACGUUCCCGGGUCU
RNAcentral lists this ribosomal RNA (1373 nucleotides) under uncultured bacterium. RNAcentral describes it as "bacterial SSU rRNA". It matches the Rfam family "Bacterial small subunit ribosomal RNA", at positions 28 to 1381 of the family's 1533-position model. The record is from RNAcentral.